CGAGCGGGGCAUCGGCCAGCACUGAGCAUCCGGUGAACAGAGCGCGGCGAGCGGCACAGGCGAAGCCUGUAACGCGAACCAAGCGAAGGAACACGAGGGUGUUGAGUGCUGGACGAUGUCUAGCGGCGGACGGGUGAGUAACGCGUGAGCAACCUGCCUUACACUGGGGGAUAACGUCGGGAAACCGGCGCUAAUACCGCAUAAGACUCCGGGGUCGCAUGGCCCUGCAGUCAAAACUCCGGUGGUGUAAGAUGGGCUCGCGUCCAAUUAGCUAGUUGGUGAGGUAACGGCCCACCAAGGCGACGAUUGGUAGCCGAACUGAGAGGUUGAUCGGCCACAUUGGGACUGAGACACGGCCCAGACUCCUACGGGAGGCAGCAGUGGGGAAUAUUGGGCAAUGGGCGCAAGCCUGACCCAGCAACGCCGCGUGAAGGAUGAAGGUUUUCGGAUCGUAAACUUCUUUGAUCGGGGACGAAAUUGACGGUACCCGAGGAACAAGCCACGGCUAACUACGUG
Molecule: ribosomal RNA, 516 nt
Filed under: uncultured bacterium
Lineage: Bacteria
Description: bacterial SSU rRNA
Rfam family: Bacterial small subunit ribosomal RNA
Source: RNAcentral